This 867-nucleotide ribosomal RNA is filed under the name Curvularia sp. Its description in RNAcentral is "partial large subunit ribosomal RNA". It matches the Rfam family "Eukaryotic large subunit ribosomal RNA", at positions 73 to 958 of the family's 3401-position model. The record is from RNAcentral. Lineage: Eukaryota; Fungi; Ascomycota; Dothideomycetes; Pleosporales; Pleosporaceae.
GAUUGCCCUAGUAACGGCGAGUGAAGCGGCAACAGCUCAAAUUUGAAAUCUGGCUCUUUUAGAGUCCGAGUUGUAAUUUGCAGAGGGCGCUUUGGCUUUGGCAGCGGUCCAAGUUCCUUGGAACAGGACGUCACAGAGGGUGAGAAUCCCGUACGUGGUCGCUAGCUAUUGCCGUGUAAAGCCCCUUCGACGAGUCGAGUUGUUUGGGAAUGCAGCUCUAAAUGGGAGGUAAAUUUCUUCUAAAGCUAAAUAUUGGCCAGAGACCGAUAGCGCACAAGUAGAGUGAUCGAAAGAUGAAAAGCACUUUGGAAAGAGAGUCAAACAGCACGUGAAAUUGUUGAAAGGGAAGCGCUUGCAGCCAGACUUGCUUGCAGUUGCUCAUCCGGGCUUUUGCCCGGUGCACUCUUCUGCAGGCAGGCCAGCAUCAGUUUGGGCGGUGGGAUAAAGGUCUCUGACACGUUCCUUCCUUCGGGUUGGCCAUAUAGGGGAGACGUCAUACCACCAGCCUGGACUGAGGUCCGCGCAUCUGCUAGGAUGCUGGCGUAAUGGCUGUAAGCGGCCCGUCUUGAAACACGGACCAAGGAGUCUAACAUCUAUGCGAGUGUUUGGGUGUCAAGCCCGAGCGCGUAAUGAAAGUGAACGGAGGUGGGAACCCGCAAGGGUGCACCAUCGACCGAUCCUGAAGUUUACGGAAGGAUUUGAGUAAGAGCAUGGCUGUUGGGACCCGAAAGAUGGUGAACUAUGCUUGAAUAGGGUGAAGCCAGAGGAAACUCUGGUGGAGGCUCGCAGCGGUUCUGACGUGCAAAUCGAUCGUCAAAUUUGGGCAUAGGGGCGAAAGACUAAUCGAACUAUCUAGUAGCUGGUUCC